Protobothrops mucrosquamatus (brown spotted pit viper) is the source of this 394-nucleotide long non-coding RNA. RefSeq lists it as uncharacterized. The transcript has 3 exons. The record is from RefSeq and is a predicted model, not a curated record. NCBI's taxonomy places the organism in Eukaryota, Metazoa, Chordata, Lepidosauria, Squamata, Viperidae.
GAGCACAGGGGCCACCGGGUGAUCCCGCCGGAGGAGGCUCUCCAGGAGUACCAGAUCAAGGUUGAGGGUUGCCUGAAGGCUCAGAAGGAGGUGAAAGAAAAAAUAGCUACAUACAAAACAGACACAGAGCAAAGAGUUCAGGAGAUGCUUGACCACAUCGAAAAAGAGAGAAAAAAUGUAGUGGCUGAAUUCAGAGAACUACAACUGUGGUUAGAAGGACAGAGGAAGCUUCUGUUGGCUAGAAUGGAAGAGACGGAGAAGGAGAUUAUGGCAAUAAAGGAGAAGGGUUUGGCCGGACUGUGCUCUCUUGACGAUCUCAUCCAGGAGAUAGAAGAGAAGCAUCAGCAGCCAGCCAGCAAACUCUUACAGGUCAGGCAGGAAGUUGAGAUCAUAG